CCUACGGGCGGUAGCAGUGGGGAAUAUUGGACAAUGGGGGGAACCCUGAUCCAGCCAUGCCGCGUGUGUGAAGAAGGCCCUCGGGUUGUAAAGCACUUUCAGUGAGGAAGAACGCCUGGUGGUUAAUACCCAUCAGGAAAGACAUCACUCACAGAAGAAGCACCGGCUAACUCCGUGCCAGCAGCCGCGGUAAUACGGAGGGUGCGAGCGUUAAUCGGAAUUACUGGGCGUAAAGCGCGCGUAGGUGGCUUGAUAAGCCGGUUGUGAAAGCCCCGGGCUCAACCUGGGAACGGCAUCCAGAACUGUCAAGCUAGAGUGCAGGAGAGGAAGGUAGAAUUCCCGGUGUAGCGGUGAAAUGCGUAGAGAUCGGGAGGAAUACCAGUGGCGAAGGCGGCCUUCUGGACUGACACUGACACUGAGGUGCGAAAGCGUGGGUAGCAAACAGGAUUAGAUACCCUAGUAGUC
Molecule: ribosomal RNA, 465 nt
Filed under: Vreelandella stevensii
Lineage: Bacteria; Pseudomonadati; Pseudomonadota; Gammaproteobacteria; Oceanospirillales; Halomonadaceae
Description: partial 16S ribosomal RNA
Rfam family: Bacterial small subunit ribosomal RNA
Source: RNAcentral